GAAAUUCUGCUGAGGGCUAGG
Molecule: non-coding RNA, 21 nt
Filed under: Rattus norvegicus (Norway rat)
Lineage: Eukaryota; Metazoa; Chordata; Mammalia; Rodentia; Muridae
Source: RNAcentral